GACGAACGCUGGCGGCGUGCUUAACACAUGCAAGUCGAACGGUAAGGCCCUUCGGGGUACACGAGUGGCGAACGGGUGAGUAACGCGUGGGUGAUCUGCCCUGCACUUCGGGAUAAGCCUGGGACACUGGGUCUAAUACCGGAUAGGACCACUGCCUGCAUGGCCGGUGGUGGACAGCGUUUGCGGUGUGGGAUAGGCCCGCGGCCUAUCAGCUUGUUGGUGGGGUGAUGGCCGACCAAGGCGACGACGGGUAGCCGGCUUGAGAGGGAGACCGGCCACACUGGGACUGAGAUACGGCCCAGACUCCGACGGGAGGCAGCAGUGGGGAAUAUUGCACAAUGGGCGCAAGCCUGAUGCAGCGACGCCGCGUGAGGGAUGACGGCCUUCGGGUUGUAAACCUCUUUCAGCACCGACGAAGCGCACGUGACGGUCGGUGCAGAAGAAGGACCGGCCAACUACGUGCCAGCCGCCGCCGUAA
Molecule: ribosomal RNA, 478 nt
Filed under: uncultured bacterium
Lineage: Bacteria
Description: partial 16S ribosomal RNA
Rfam family: Bacterial small subunit ribosomal RNA
Source: RNAcentral